CUUAAUUCGACGCAACGCGAAGAACCUUACCAAGGCUUGACAUACACCGAAAACUCGUAGAGAUACGGGGUCCGCAAGGGCGGUGUACAGGUGGUGCAUGGUUGUCGUCAGCUCGUGUCGUGAGAUGUUGGGUUAAGUCCCGCAACGAGCGCAACCCUCGUUCUAUGUUGCCAGCGGGUCAUGCCGGGGACUCAUAGGAGACUGCCGGGGUCAACUCGGAGGAAGGUGGGGACGACGUCAAAUCAUCAUGCCCCUUAUGUCUUGGGCUGCACACAUGCUACAAUGGCCGGUACAAAGGGCUGCUAAACCGCGAGGUGGAGCGAAUCCCAAAAAGCCGGUCUCAGUUCGGAUUGGGGUCUGCAACUCGACCCCAUGAAGUCGGAGUUGCUAGUAAUCGCAGAUCAGCAACGCUG
RNAcentral lists this ribosomal RNA (413 nucleotides) under uncultured bacterium. RNAcentral's name for it is "bacterial SSU rRNA". It matches the Rfam family "Bacterial small subunit ribosomal RNA", at positions 945 to 1359 of the family's 1533-position model. The record is from RNAcentral.